RNAcentral lists this ribosomal RNA (776 nucleotides) under uncultured bacterium. RNAcentral's name for it is "bacterial SSU rRNA". It matches the Rfam family "Bacterial small subunit ribosomal RNA", at positions 8 to 796 of the family's 1533-position model. The record is from RNAcentral.
AGAGUUUGAUCCUGGCUCAGGACGAACGCUGGCGGCGUGCUUAACACAUGCAAGUCGAACGGUGAACCCGCUUCGGUGGGGGAUCAGUGGCGAACGGGUGAGUAACACGUGGGCAACCUGCCCCUGGCUCUGGGAUAACUCCAAGAAAUUGGGGCUAAUACCGGAUAUGACCGCUGACCGCAUGGUCUGGUGGUGGAAAGAUUUAUCGGCUGGGGAUGGGCCCGCGGCCUAUCAGCUUGUUGGUGGGGUAGUGGCCUACCAAGGCGACGACGGGUAGCCGGCCUGAGAGGGUGACCGGCCACACUGGGACUGAGACACGGCCCAGACUCCUACGGGAGGCAGCAGUGGGGAAUAUUGCGCAAUGGGCGGAGGCCUGACGCAGCGACGCCGCGUGGGGGAUGACGGCCUUCGGGUUGUAAACCUCUUUCAGCAGGGACGAAGCCGUAAGGUGACGGUACCUGCAGAAGAAGCACCGGCCAACUACGUGCCAGCAGCCGCGGUAAUACGUAGGGUGCAAGCGUUGUCCGGAAUUAUUGGGCGUAAAGAGCUCGUAGGCGGUUUGUUGCGUCGGCUGUGAAAUCCCGAGGCUCAACCUCGGGUCUGCAGUCGAUACGAGCAAACUAGAGUGUUGCAGGGGAGACUGGAAUUCCUGGUGUAGCGGUGAAAUGCGCAGAUAUCAGGAGGAACACCGGUGGCGAAGGCGGGUCUCUGGGCAACAACUGACGCUGAGGAGCGAAAGCGUGGGGAGCGAACAGGAUUAGAUACCCUAGUAGUCC